UACGUAGGCAGCGAGCGUUGUUCGGAGUUACUGGGCGUCAAGAGUGCGUAGGCGGUUUUCUAAGUUUGGUGUGAAAUCUCCCGGCUCAACUGGGAGGGUGCGCCGAAGACUGGAAGGCUUGAGUAUGGGAGAGGUAAGCGGAAUUCCUGGUGUAGCGGUGAAAUGCGUAGAUAUCAGGAGGAACACCUGCGGUGUAGACGGCUUACUGGACCAUAACUGACGCUGAGGCACGAAAGCGUGGGUAGCAAACAGG
Molecule: ribosomal RNA, 253 nt
Filed under: uncultured bacterium
Lineage: Bacteria
Description: partial 16S ribosomal RNA
Rfam family: Bacterial small subunit ribosomal RNA
Source: RNAcentral